AUUGAACGCUGGCGGCAGGCCUAACACAUGCAAGUCGAGCGGAUGAUGGGAGCUUGCUCCUGGAUUCAGCGGCGGACGGGUGAGUAAUGCCUAGGAAUCUGCCUAGUAGUGGGGGACAACGUUUCGAAAGGAACGCUAAUACCGCAUACGUCCUACGGGAGAAAGCAGGGGACCUUCGGGCCUUGCGCUAUCAGAUGAGCCUAGGUCGGAUUAGCUUGUUGGUGAGGUAAGGGGUCACCAAGGCUACGAUCCGUAACUGGUCUGAGAGGAUGAUCAGUCACACUGGAACUGAGACACGGUCCAGACUCCUACGGGAGGCAGCAGUGGGGAAUAUUGGACAAUGGGCGAAAGCCUGAUCCAGCCAUGCCGCGUGUGUGAAGAAGGUCUUCGGAUUGUAAAGCACUUUAAGUUGGGAGGAAGGGUUGUAGAUUAAUACUCUGCAAUUUUGACGUUACCGACAGAAUAAGCACCGGCUAACUCUGUGCCAGCAGCCGCCGUAA
RNAcentral lists this ribosomal RNA (500 nucleotides) under uncultured bacterium. RNAcentral's name for it is "partial 16S ribosomal RNA". It matches the Rfam family "Bacterial small subunit ribosomal RNA", at positions 30 to 523 of the family's 1533-position model. The record is from RNAcentral.